Molecule: non-coding RNA, 86 nt
Organism: Trametes cingulata
Lineage: Eukaryota; Fungi; Basidiomycota; Agaricomycetes; Polyporales; Polyporaceae
Source: the annotation of a GenBank genome assembly
GGCCUGGUGGUCUAGUAGUAUGAUUCCUUCUUAGGGCGGCAGCCGCAAUAUGGAGGAGGUCCCGGGUUCAAUUCCCGGCCAGGCCC